CAGUAACGGCGAGUGAAGCGGCAAAAGCUCAAAUUUGAAAUCUGGCUCCUUCGGGGUCCGAAUUGUAAUUUGUAGAGAGUGCUUCGGGCGAGACCUCGGUCUAAGUCCAUUGGAACAUGGUGUCAUAGAGGGUGAGAAUCCCGUAUGCGACCGUGGCUCGAGCCCAUGUGAAGCCUCUUCGACGAGUCGAGUUGUUUGGGAAUGCAGCUCAAAACGGGUGGUAAAUUUCAUCUAAAGCUAAAUACUGGCUGGAGACCGAUAGCGCACAAGUAGAGUGAUCGAAAGAUGAAAAGCACUUUGGAAAGAGAGUCAAACAGUACGUGAAAUUGUUGAAAGGGAAGCGCUUGCAACCAGACCUGCCCGUAGGCGAUCAGCCGCUGUUCUCAGCGGUGUACUCGCUCUGCGAUCAGGCCAGCAUCGGUUUCGGCGGUCGGAUAAAGGCCUUGGGAAUGUAGCUUCCUCUCGGGGGAGUCUUAUAGCCCUCGGUGUAAUGCGGCCAGCUGGGACCGAGGACCGCGCUUCGGCUAGGAUGCUGGCGUAAUGGUUGUAAGCGACCCGUCUUGAAACACGGACCAAGGAGUCUAACAUCUAUGCGAGUGUUUGGGUGUCAAACCCAUGCGCGGAAUGAAAGUGAACGGAGGUGAGAACCCUUAAGGGCGCAUCAUCGACCGAUCCAGAUGUCUUCGGAUGGAUUUGAGUAUGAGCAUAGCUGUUGGGACCCGAAAGAUGGUGAACUAUGCCUGAAUAGGGUGAAGCCAGAGGAAACUCUGGUGGAGGCUCGCAGCGGUUCUGACGUGCAAAUCGAUCGUCAAA
This 813-nucleotide ribosomal RNA is filed under the name Xanthoparmelia lineola. RNAcentral describes it as "partial large subunit ribosomal RNA". It matches the Rfam family "Eukaryotic large subunit ribosomal RNA", at positions 81 to 909 of the family's 3401-position model. Lineage: Eukaryota; Fungi; Ascomycota; Lecanoromycetes; Lecanorales; Parmeliaceae. The record is from RNAcentral.